This 416-nucleotide unclassified non-coding RNA is filed under the name Hevea brasiliensis (rubber tree). Lineage: Eukaryota; Viridiplantae; Streptophyta; Magnoliopsida; Malpighiales; Euphorbiaceae. The record is from RNAcentral.
GGAAAUAAGGCACCUAAUGCUAAAGUGGAAAACCCAGGUGAUUCAGUGCAGCAUAAUGGUGAAUCCACUGAUGGAUCGGAAGUCUUGAAAGACGCAUCCCAUGGUGAAUCAUCUAGCAUUCCAGUGGAACAGAAUAAAAAUCUGCGGGGAAAAGGCCGAGAAGAACUAAAGCCUCCACGAGUUCUCGAGGCUCUCUCAGCUUCUGGAUUGAGGGCUUUAAGGUAUGCUCGUGAAGUAGAAGGAAUUAGCCAGGUCGUGGCCCUUGACAAUGACAAAGCCUCUGUGGAAGCUUGCAGGAGAAACAUUAAGUUUAAUGGUUCAGUGGCAUGCUCUAAGGUGGAAUCUCACCUUGCUGAUGCAAGGGUUUAUAUGCUUACCCACCCAAACGAAUUUGAUGUGGUUGAUCUCGAUCCUUA